Molecule: small nucleolar RNA, 118 nt
Filed under: Tetrahymena elliotti 4EA
Lineage: Eukaryota; Ciliophora; Oligohymenophorea; Hymenostomatida; Tetrahymenidae
Description: Tetrahymena snoRNA TtnuCD10
Rfam family: Tetrahymena snoRNA TtnuCD10
Source: Rfam by way of RNAcentral
GCCAUGAAGAUAAAGAUGACGAGAAUGACGGUUUUCUUUGAGUUGGAUGCCAAAGUUUUUUUGGUAUUCAAUGAGAAGAGACCUCUAAGUGAUUCUAAAUGAGGCAUUUGACAGAGCA